AGAGUUUGAUCCUGGCUCAGAACGAACGCUGGCGACAUGCCUAACACAUGCAAGUCGAACGAGGGCCCCGCUUCGGUGGGACCCUAGUGGCGCACGGGUGAGUAACGCGUGGGAACCUGCCCUGUGGUACGGAAUAACUCCGGGAAACUGGAGCUAAUACCGUAUGUGUCCUGUGGGACAAAGAUUUAUCGCCAUGGGAUGGGCCCGCGUAGGAUUAGCUUGUUGGUGGGGUAACGGCCUACCAAGGCUUCGAUCCUUAGCUGGUCUGAGAGGAUGAUCAGCCACACUGGGACUGAGACACGGCCCAGACUCCUACGGGAGGCAGCAGUGGGGAAUAUUGGACAAUGGGCGCAAGCCUGAUCCAGCAAUGCCGCGUGAGUGAUGAAGGCCUUCGGGUUGUAAAGCUCUUUCGCACGCGACGAUGAUGACGGUAGCGUGAGAAGAAGCCCCGGCUAACUUCGUGCCAGCAGCCGCGGUAAUACGAAGGGGGCUAGCGUUGUUCGGAAUUACUGGGCGUAAAGGGCGCGUAGGCGGUACUUCAAGUCAGGCGUGAAAGCCCCGGGCUCAACCUGGGAACCGCGCUUGAGACUGGAGAACUAGAGUUCGGGAGAGGAUGGUGGAAUUCCCAGUGUAGAGGUGAAAUUCGUAGAUAUUGGGAAGAACACCGAUGGCGAAGGCAGCCAUCUGGACCGACACUGACGCUGAGGCGCGAAAGCGUGGGGAGCAAACAGGAUUAGAUACCCUAGUAGUCC
RNAcentral lists this ribosomal RNA (752 nucleotides) under uncultured bacterium. RNAcentral describes it as "bacterial SSU rRNA". It matches the Rfam family "Bacterial small subunit ribosomal RNA", at positions 8 to 796 of the family's 1533-position model. The record is from RNAcentral.